CAGAAUUAUAUUUUCAACUUGUCUCUACCAGUAUUGUAACUCCUCUUCUGAUAGUUUUUCCCGAUAGUUCGGAAAGUAGAGGCUUCUUACAUUCCUGGUAGGAGCAGUUCUGUCUUCUAUGCCACUUCUGGAAGUCAACUUUCCUCUCAGAUCCUCAUCUGGUGGUGUGGCCUGUGUUCACUGACGUAAAUUGUACAGUGUGAGUGACUACAGCACCGCUACUGGGAGUCAUCACGUAUCUUGACAGCAGCCCUUGCUAAUGGUCACGUGACAAUUCUAUUGGAAUUUGGUAUCCAUGGCUUUUGAGGAUCUGGCCUCUCUGAAGAGGAUAAAGAAUUAAUCACUGCUGACCCAAGAGAGCAAGCCAGACGAUGCACCUUCUCGCAGGAGAGGAAGCAGCAUGAGCCCCAGAGGUUAAAUGGAUUAACUCCCUCAAUCACCUGAGCAAAAGAAGACAGAGGCCAGGGAUGCCUUCUUCCAAGCGGGCCCAUCUGAUGAAAACAGGGUUUCCUCGCAUGUACAGAUAGUAUGCAGCAGAAUUCUCUGUGUCUGGAUACACAUAUGGAAAGGUUAACCCCUUUAGUGAUAGACCAGACGUUCUGUACAUUUCUGGGCAA
Physeter macrocephalus (sperm whale) is the source of this 617-nucleotide long non-coding RNA. RefSeq lists it as uncharacterized. Lineage: Eukaryota; Metazoa; Chordata; Mammalia; Artiodactyla; Physeteridae. The record is from RefSeq and is a predicted model, not a curated record. The transcript has 4 exons.